GAAGGUAGAGCUCAGUGGGAGAGUGCCUGCUUAGCAUGCACAAGGUUCUGGGUUCAAUCCCCAGUACCUCCA
Molecule: transfer RNA, 72 nt
Filed under: Camelus dromedarius (Arabian camel)
Lineage: Eukaryota; Metazoa; Chordata; Mammalia; Artiodactyla; Camelidae
Also listed under: 1 other name
Rfam family: tRNA
About the family: Transfer RNA (tRNA) molecules are approximately 80 nucleotides in length. Their secondary structure includes four short double-helical elements and three loops (D, anti-codon, and T loops). Further hydrogen bonds mediate the characteristic L-shaped molecular structure. tRNAs have two regions of fundamental functional importance: the anti-codon, which is responsible for specific mRNA codon recognition, and the 3' end, to which the tRNAs corresponding amino acid is attached (by aminoacyl-tRNA synthetases). tRNAs cope with the degeneracy of the genetic code in two manners: having more than one tRNA (with a specific anti-codon) for a particular amino acid; and 'wobble' base-pairing, i.e. permitting non-standard base-pairing at the 3rd anti-codon position.
Source: Rfam by way of RNAcentral